UUACAAUGGGAAAACUGCUAGCCACUCCUUUCUUUGUGACCUUGGGCACACAUUAGCAAUGUCUAGGAACAGCCUUUCCGAUUACAAGAUGAGGUUAUGCUAAAGUCACAAGGUUAGUACCAGCGUCCAAGAAGGAAACGGAGACAAAGGGCCCAGAGGGGAGUGCCAGCUUCGCUAAGCUCAAGGCUGUCCUCAACACAGAACUCCAAACUCAAGAGCUUCAACGGGGAACCAUCCAGACCUUCAUUUUCCAAGUGAGUCGCUUCUAAUUCUUGUUCAAGGGAAUUCACCUGGCUGACCUGUGAAAAACAAAACAUUCUGUUCUAAACACGCAAGUUGCACUACUUGAUGUUGUCCUGUUGGAGUUCGUUGGAAAUCUCAAGCUGUGGAAGAGAUCCAGAGUAAUUGAGCAAGUGGAAACAACAAACUAUGCAAUUCAGUACAUGGCUUAUAUCUAAGAUCAGACUUGAAGAUCUUAAACAGAAUUUCAAGUUGGAUACUCGCAAGAAUAGCUGAGCUACAGGACCCUGAAUUCCAGAAUUUUCUGAGGUAGAAAACAGUCCUACAAUUCUGGGACCCCUA
Ochotona princeps (American pika) is the source of this 582-nucleotide long non-coding RNA. RefSeq lists it as uncharacterized. The transcript is spliced from 3 exons. The record is from RefSeq and is a predicted model, not a curated record. NCBI's taxonomy places the organism in Eukaryota, Metazoa, Chordata, Mammalia, Lagomorpha, Ochotonidae.